AGAGUUUGAUCCUGGCUCAGGAUGAACGCUAGCGGCAGGCCUAAUACAUGCAAGUCGAACGGAUGUAGCAAUACAUUAGUGGCGCACGGGUGCGUAACGCGUAUGCAACCUACCUUUCAGAGGGGGAUAGCCCGGGGAAACCCGGAUUAAUACCGCAUAAGAUAGUUGACUGGCAUCAGUUAAUUAUGAAACAUUUAUGGCUGAAAGAUGGGCAUGCGUUAGAUUAGCUAGUUGGUGAGGUAGAAGCUCACCAAGGCGAUGAUCUAUAGGGGUUCUGAGAGGAAGAUCCCCCACACUGGUACUGAGACAGGGACCAGACUCCUACGGGAGGCAGCAGUAGGGAAUAUUGGGCAAUGGAGGCAACUCUGACCCAGCCAUGCCGCGUGCAGGAAGAAGGCCUUCUGGGUUGUAAACUGCUUUUGGAAGUGAACAAAAAGACACUGCGGUGUAAAUUGAGUGUAGCUUCAGAAUAAGCACCGGCUAACUCCGUGCCAGCAGCCGCGGUAAUACGGAGGGUGCAAGCGUUGUCCGGAUUUAUUGGGUUUAAAGGGUGCGUAGGCGGCUACUUAAGUCAGGGGUGAAAGACGAUUGCUUAACAAUCGCAGUGCCUUUGAUACUGAGUAGCUUGAGUACAGAUGAGGCAGGCGGAAUGGGUGGUGUAGCGGUGAAAUGCAUAGAUACCAUCCAGAACACCGAUUGCGAAGGCAGCCUGCUAAACUGUAACUGACGCUGAGGCACGAAAGCGUGGGGAUCGAACAGGAUUAGAUACCCUAGUAGUCC
This 780-nucleotide ribosomal RNA is filed under the name uncultured bacterium. Its description in RNAcentral is "bacterial SSU rRNA". It matches the Rfam family "Bacterial small subunit ribosomal RNA", at positions 8 to 796 of the family's 1533-position model. The record is from RNAcentral.